GCCCUCUUUGCUCAGUGGUUAAGCGCAUGGAUUUUAACUACGUGGUCGUGGGUUUGAUCCCAUAGACGACG
RNAcentral lists this transfer RNA (71 nucleotides) under Ipomoea nil (Japanese morning glory). It matches the Rfam family "tRNA". Rfam says of the family: Transfer RNA (tRNA) molecules are approximately 80 nucleotides in length. Their secondary structure includes four short double-helical elements and three loops (D, anti-codon, and T loops). The record is from Rfam by way of RNAcentral. Lineage: Eukaryota; Viridiplantae; Streptophyta; Magnoliopsida; Solanales; Convolvulaceae.